GAUGAACGCUGGCGGCGUGCCUAAUACAUGCAAGUCGAGCGAACACACCAGGAGUUUGCUCCUCUGACGUUAGCGGCGGACGGGUGAGUAACACGUGUAUAACCUACCUAUAGGACUGGGAUAACUUCGGCAAACCGGAGCUAAUACCGGAUAAUAUAUUGAACCGCAUGGUUCAAUAGUUAAAGACGGUUUUUCUGUCACUUAUAGCUUGAUCCGCGCCGGAUCAGCUAGUUGGUAAGGUAACGGCUUACCAACGCAACGAUGCGAAGCCGACCCGAGAGGGAGGUUGCACAGACUGGAUCUGAGAAACGGCACAGACUCCGGCGGGAGGAAGCAGCAGGGAAUCUUACGCGAUGGGGGAGAGCCGGAUGUAACAAAACCGCGUGAGUGAUGAAGGACUUCGGAUGGGAAAGCUAUGAAAGUAGGGGAGUAGAAAUGUGCUAGUAACUAUGCAGGUAAUGACGGUACCUAAAGAAGAAGCCACGGCUAACUACGUG
RNAcentral lists this ribosomal RNA (497 nucleotides) under uncultured bacterium. RNAcentral describes it as "partial 16S ribosomal RNA". It matches the Rfam family "Bacterial small subunit ribosomal RNA", at positions 28 to 507 of the family's 1533-position model. The record is from RNAcentral.